Molecule: long non-coding RNA, 804 nt
Filed under: Neogale vison (American mink)
Lineage: Eukaryota; Metazoa; Chordata; Mammalia; Carnivora; Mustelidae
Description: Neovison vison (American mink) lncRNA (ENSNVIG00000003134.1)
Source: RNAcentral
AGGAGGCCAAGGGCAUCCCAUCCUGUGAUUCCACUUACCUGCCAGACCAUUCUUCCCAGGUCCAUCCAGCAUCCCAUUGAUCUGCUGCUACUUCUGCUGCUCGUGCUGCUGUUGCUUCCAGAUCCCUGCCAGCACCAGCAGGAGUGUAGGAGGGAUCUGCCCUGUGGGAACCCAGGAAUCUUGUAAGAUGCCUCCAGCCCUUUCCACAGGCGCCCAAUCCCCCAUUCCUUCCAGGGUGCCCCGGAGCUCAGUUCCCCAGUCCUGUAUAAUCCCUCACUUGAUCACCUUUCCCACGGUCCAGGAAUCUCUCAGUCUUGCCAGGGGCCCACAGCUCUCCCCACAGUUCAUGGGUCCUCCUGCCAUCUGGUGCCGGAAUGCUGAUGUGGGCAAAGGGCAGGGCAUAGCACAGGCCUGAAACAGGAGGGACCUGUGGUUGUCACCUGGGCUGCCAUUAACAGGGGUGAGACAUGAGGCACUGAAUCUCCAAAGACAUUGAGCCCAUGGAGGUGAUGACGCCAAUGUCUGCAUGUUCUCAACAUGUGACUUCUUGUCCUCCACACAGUUAUGGACAUGGGCAUGGACACUCCCAGUUCACCGAAGGAAAUGAGCACCAGGCCAAACAGCAGAUAAAGCCUCGACAAUAUGAAGUUACUUUAGACCAAAUCAAGAUGAAGAUUAGUGUCCUUAAAAAUGAAAACGAGGAUCUUCAAAAAUACAUAGCGAGUUGGGAGGAGAAGGCCCAAGAUGCACUGGCAGAGCUAAAGCUGAGAGCCUCGACAUCAAAAAACCAAGAACUGAAAGGUA